AUGGACGGCGUCGACUCCAUGGUGGACCCCCUCCGCGAGUUCGCCAAGGACAACGUCCGCCUCGUCAAGCGCUGCCACAAGCCCGACCGCAAGGAUCUGACGCUGAUUCGGCACGCAGAGUUCACCAAGGUGGCGGCGCGGACGGCGAUCUGGUUCGUCGUCAUGGGGUUCGUCGGCUUCUUCGUCAAGCUCAUCUUCAUCCCCAUCAACAACAUCAUCGUCAGCUUCGGCUAG
RNAcentral lists this ribosomal RNA (234 nucleotides) under Triticum aestivum (bread wheat). RNAcentral describes it as "partial small subunit ribosomal RNA". Lineage: Eukaryota; Viridiplantae; Streptophyta; Magnoliopsida; Poales; Poaceae. The record is from RNAcentral.